GGGUGCAGCAGGCGCGAAACCUUCACAAUGUGCGCAAGCACGAUGAGGGGAUCCCAAGUGCUGGCUCGCAAGAGUCAGCUGUUUCUCUGUCUAAAAAACAGAGAGAGUAAGUGCUGGGUAAGACGGGUGCCAGCCGCCGCGGUAAUACCUGCAGCACAAGUGGUGAUCGCUAUUAUUGGGCCUAAAACGUUCGUAGCCGGUUUCGUAAAUGCCUGGGUAAAUCGAAUAGCUUAACUAUUCGAAUUCCGGGUAGACUGCGAGGCUUGAGACCGGGAGAGGCUAGAGGUACUCCUAGGGUAGAGGUGAAAUUCUGUAAUCCUAGGGGGACCACCGGUGGCGAAGGCGUCUAGCCAGAACGGCUCUGACGGUGAGGGACGAAGCCCUGGGGCGCAAACCGGAUUAGAUACCCGGGUAGUCCAGGGUGUAAACGCUGCUCGCUUGAUGUUAGUUGGGCUCCGAGCCCACCUAGUGUCGGAGAGAAGUUGUUAAGCGAGCUGCCUGGGAAGUACGGUCGCAAGGCUGAAACUUAAAGGAAUUGGCGGGGGAGCACAGCAACGGGUGGAGCGUGCGGUUUAAUUGGAUUCAACGCCGGAAAACUCACCGGGGGCGUCGGUUACAUGAAGGCCAAGUUGAUGACUUUGCCUGAUUUUCCGAGAAGUGGUGCAUGGCCGUCGUCAGUUCGUACCGUGAGGCGUUCUGUUAAGUCAGACAACGAACGAGACCCUCAUCUUUAGUUGCUAU
RNAcentral lists this ribosomal RNA (741 nucleotides) under uncultured archaeon. RNAcentral describes it as "bacterial SSU rRNA". It matches the Rfam family "Archaeal small subunit ribosomal RNA", at positions 328 to 1070 of the family's 1478-position model. The record is from RNAcentral.